UCCUAAUGUAACAGAGUUUAUGCAGUCACACUGUAUAUCAGUGCAUUCGCAUUCUUCCCAGUUCCUCCCUUGAAAAACUCUUUAACCCUUUGGCCACUUUUAGCCCAAACCAGCAGAGAAGCACGGAGCUCAGACCCUACAUUUGCAAUCGGUUGGGUAAAGAGCGACCCUGGCAGGGCUGCAGCUGUGAGAAACACCGACCCACGCUGCCAGCCCCUAUUAGACACCAGAGAAUCCGCACAGUGCUGACAUCUGAUUGAUGUCCGAACCGUGGGAAAAAGCUUCCCUGGGAGUUUGUGCCCUCCCAGACACCCAGUGCCAAGCUUCGGGGCGGGAGAGGGGAAGCAGCUUAGCAGAAGUCAUAGCCAGGAGGGCUAGGGCUGGCACUGAAAGCAGCGCUGGGGCUGCAGCCCCAAAGCCUUUGGCACUCUGGAAGUCUCAUCUUGGAAGGAAUCACUGCAAAUUACUGUCUCUGCUGAGGGCGUUACAAGCUGUCAGGGCUUGGGGCACCAAUACUCCUUAACAGCCCUGAGCAGCCUCACCUGGGGGCCUCUAUCCACACCCUUCGUGCUCGGCCCAGGAGCCCUAUUUAAGCUCAGCACAGAGCUCUCAGCUCUUGUUGCAGCACUGCUGAGGCUGGCUUGCUCUCAGCCCUGCUUGUAUAUGGGCCCUGCUGAACUUGACCCCAGUGUGGAAGCUGGCUUUGUGACCUCUGGCCUCUGUGGAGCUGCUCAGCACCUGCUGGGCCUGAUCCUGGGGCUGACUCCAGGGCUGAUUCAUUGCUUGCCUUUUACUGGUCUGCCUCAUCGCUGUGAGCUUGCUUGGUGACCCUGGGGGCUCUUGGAUGAACACUGGGGUGACCCCUGGAGCUGCUCUGCCCCACUUUGAGGCUGGACCCUGGCUGGUGACAUCCCUUCUUGCCCUCCUGACUCCUUUGGGAAGCAGCUGGCCCUGCUGCUCCUUAACUCGGUCAAGACCAAAGGAAAUACUUGUGUGUAGCAAACUGCCUACGAGCUGCUUUCCACGCAGGGGAUUUAACCACACUACAAUCCUGUUCAUGCAGUGAAACUGUGAAGGAGACCGAAGCGGGGCAUAAAUCUUUUUGCAGUUUAGAGCUCGUUUAGCUGUGGAUUGCGCUGCCAGGUGUAGUAGUAGCAACAGUCCAUGUUACCUCUAUGGUCUUUCAUCUGAGCUUCUCAGGGAUGUACGAUCUUUCCCUCGAGCCCCCAUUGCUGUUGGAGCAAUGGCUGAGCAGCCGUAAUGCAGUGCGUCAGGAAGAAGUCAGAAGGGGUAACAGUGAAGACAAAAUGGAGCUGGGUGGACUUCU
This 1327-nucleotide long non-coding RNA is filed under the name Gallus gallus (chicken). RNAcentral describes it as "lncRNA (ENSGALG00010025201.1)". The record is from RNAcentral. Lineage: Eukaryota; Metazoa; Chordata; Aves; Galliformes; Phasianidae.